AGAGUUUGGAAAGGUAACUAGGCAGCUAGAGGUGCAGACAGAUACUUAAAGUAGCCCCAGCUGCCUCUAAUCUGGGCAAUUCUAUAACUAAAAAUCUUGCCCUCUGCACUCUCUGAGUCUCAGUUCUGUACCUCCAAAAGGGAGGGAUGGUGUUUGCUUUCUUCCAUCCUCUAUGGCCUCAUCAUAAAACCUCAAGUCUGGGCAGGACUGCAAGGAAAUAUAAAUACAGUGUGCUAAGACCCUUUGUAAAUCAGGUUCCAGGUGGCUCAGGUUGAGCCAUUGAUUGCCAGAGCUCCCUUGCACUAAGCCUGACUAAUGACCAGGGGCUUGAAGACAACUGAGACUGAAGUCUGCUGUGAUACUAACAGAGACGCUUCACUAGAAAGCCAUUAGGAACCAUAGUCCUCUAUUCAAGCUAUCUGCUUCUUCUCUGACUAGCAUGGUGGGCCUAAUUCUUCAUGAAAAAGGAAAAAAGGGUCUCAAGUUAGGCAUUUUUUGUUGACUGUAAGGCUUCUUUCUCUUGUCCAAGAGCCGUAGAGGAACCUUAGGGUCAAGAAGAAUUGGGCCUUUUCAUGUACGUUCAACAUUUAUUUCUGGCUGCAAACAAGACACGUGACUAUCAAAACCGACAGCUGCCACAGAAAGAAGAACAUCAGCUGGGAAAUCCGUCACCUUGGAUCAGACGACAGAGGGCAGCCCUACAUCAUUUUAUUCUGUCAUUGUAUGAUCCAUUUUUCUUUCU
Alligator sinensis (Chinese alligator) is the source of this 742-nucleotide long non-coding RNA. RefSeq lists it as uncharacterized. The transcript has 3 exons. NCBI's taxonomy places the organism in Eukaryota, Metazoa, Chordata, Crocodylia, Alligatoridae. The record is from RefSeq and is a predicted model, not a curated record.